Molecule: ribosomal RNA, 348 nt
Filed under: uncultured bacterium
Lineage: Bacteria
Description: bacterial SSU rRNA
Rfam family: Bacterial small subunit ribosomal RNA
Source: RNAcentral
AGAGUUUGAUCCUGGCUCAGGAUGAACGCUGGCGGCGUGCUUAACACAUGCAAGUCGAACGAAGAUGCCGGAGUGCUUGCACUUUGGCAGACUGAGUGGCGGACGGGUGAGUAACGCGUGGGUAACCUGCCUUAUACAGGGGGAUAACAGUUGGAAACGACUGCUAAUACCGCAUAAGCGCACGGUAUCGCAUGAUACAGUGUGAAAACUCCGGUGGUAUAAGAUGGACCCGCGUCUGAUUAGCUUGUUGGUGAGGUAACGGCCACAAGGCGACGAUCAGUAGCCGGCCUGAGGAGGGUGAACGGCCACAUUGGGACUGAGACACGGCCCAAACUCCUACGGGAGGCA